GACGAACGCUGGCGGCGUGCCUAAUACAUGCAAGUAGAACGCACAGUUUAUACCGUAGCUUGCUCCACCAUAGACUGUGAGUUGCGAACGGGUGAGUAACGCGUAGGUAACCUGCCUGGUAGCGGGGGAUAACUAUUGGAAACGAUAGCUAAUACCGCAUAAUAUUGAUUAUUGCAUGAUAAUUGAUUGAAAGAUGCUAUUGCAUCACUACCAGAUGGACCUGCGUUGUAUUAGCUAGUAGGUGAGGUAACGGCUCACCUAGGCGACGAUACAUAGCCGACCUGAGAGGGUGAUCGGCCACACUGGGACUGAGACACGGCCCAGACUCCUACGGGAGGCAGCAGUAGGGAAUCUUAGGCAAUGGACGAAAGUCUGACCGAGCAACGCCGCGUGAGUGAAGAAGGUUGUCGGAUCGUAAAGCUCUGUUGUAAGAGAAGAACGGGUGUGAGAGUGGAAAGUUCACACUGUGACGGUAUCUUACCAGAAAGGGACGGCUAACUACGUG
RNAcentral lists this ribosomal RNA (505 nucleotides) under uncultured bacterium. Its description in RNAcentral is "partial 16S ribosomal RNA". It matches the Rfam family "Bacterial small subunit ribosomal RNA", at positions 28 to 507 of the family's 1533-position model. The record is from RNAcentral.